RNAcentral lists this ribosomal RNA (514 nucleotides) under uncultured Ralstonia sp. Its description in RNAcentral is "bacterial SSU rRNA". It matches the Rfam family "Bacterial small subunit ribosomal RNA", at positions 398 to 905 of the family's 1533-position model. The record is from RNAcentral. Lineage: Bacteria; Pseudomonadati; Pseudomonadota; Betaproteobacteria; Burkholderiales; Burkholderiaceae.
CGCGUGUGUGUAGAAGGCCUUCGGGUUGUAAAGCACUUUUGUCCGGAAAGAAAUGGCUCUGGUUAAUACCUGGGGUCGAUGACGGUACCGGAAGAAUAAGGACCGGCUAACUACGUGCCAGCAGCCGCGGUAAUACGUAGGGUCCAAGCGUUAAUCGGAAUUACUGGGCGUAAAGCGUGCGCAGGCGGUUGUGCAAGACCGAUGUGAAAUCCCCGAGCUUAACUUGGGAAUUGCAUUGGUGACUGCACGGCUAGAGUGUGUCAGAGGGGGGUAGAAUUCCACGUGUAGCAGUGAAAUGCGUAGAGAUGUGGAGGAAUACCGAUGGCGAAGGCAGCCCCCUGGGAUAACACUGACGCUCAUGCACGAAAGCGUGGGGAGCAAACAGGAUUAGAUACCCUGGUAGUCCACGCCCUAAACGAUGUCAACUAGUUGUUGGGGAUUCAUUUCCUUAGUAACGUAGCUAACGCGUGAAGUUGACCGCCUGGGGAGUACGGUCGCAAGAUUAAAACUCAAA